Molecule: ribosomal RNA, 454 nt
Filed under: uncultured bacterium
Lineage: Bacteria
Description: bacterial SSU rRNA
Rfam family: Bacterial small subunit ribosomal RNA
Source: RNAcentral
GACGAACGCUGGCGGUGUGCUUCACACAUGCAAGUCGAACGAGGUAGCAAUACCUAGUGGCGGACGGGUGAGUAACGCGUGGGAAUCUGCCCAUAGGUGGGGGAUAACUAGCCGAAAGGUUAGCUAAUACCGCAUAUGCCGAGAGGUAAAAGGAGUAAUCCGCCUUUGGAUGAGCCCGCGUCCGAUUAGCUAGUUGGUAGGGUAAAAGCCUACCAAGGCUACGAUCGGUAGCUGGUCUGAGAGGAUGAUCAGCCACAAUGGGACUGAGACACGGCCCAUACUCCUACGGGAGGCAGCAGUGGGGAAUUUUACGCAAUGGGGGAAACCCUGACGUAGCGACACCGCGUGAACGAAGAAGCCCUUUGGGGUGUAAAGUUCUGUCGGCUGGAACGAAAAAAAUGACGGUACCUGUGGAGGAAGCAUCGGCUAACUACGUGCCAGCAGCCGCGGUAAU